AGGUACUACGACCCGUAACCGACGAAAGGGGGGGGCGGUUGCCACGGUGAGAUUCAUGACUGGGUG
Molecule: ribosomal RNA, 66 nt
Filed under: uncultured bacterium
Lineage: Bacteria
Description: partial 16S ribosomal RNA
Source: RNAcentral